GCUGCUGUAGCUCAGUGGUAGAGCACUUGCCUAGCAUGCACAAGGUUUUGGAUUCCAUUUCCAUCACCACCA
Molecule: transfer RNA, 72 nt
Filed under: Dipodomys ordii (Ord's kangaroo rat)
Lineage: Eukaryota; Metazoa; Chordata; Mammalia; Rodentia; Heteromyidae
Rfam family: tRNA
About the family: Transfer RNA (tRNA) molecules are approximately 80 nucleotides in length. Their secondary structure includes four short double-helical elements and three loops (D, anti-codon, and T loops). Further hydrogen bonds mediate the characteristic L-shaped molecular structure. tRNAs have two regions of fundamental functional importance: the anti-codon, which is responsible for specific mRNA codon recognition, and the 3' end, to which the tRNAs corresponding amino acid is attached (by aminoacyl-tRNA synthetases). tRNAs cope with the degeneracy of the genetic code in two manners: having more than one tRNA (with a specific anti-codon) for a particular amino acid; and 'wobble' base-pairing, i.e. permitting non-standard base-pairing at the 3rd anti-codon position.
Source: Rfam by way of RNAcentral